RNAcentral lists this non-coding RNA (163 nucleotides) under human gut metagenome. RNAcentral describes it as "6S / SsrS RNA". It matches the Rfam family "6S / SsrS RNA". From Rfam's summary of the family: E. coli 6S RNA was the first non coding RNA to be sequenced, but its function was unknown until recently. It consists of 184 nucleotides that fold into an extended hairpin structure with a large single-stranded internal bulge. The record is from RNAcentral. RNAcentral also lists the same sequence under 1 other name.
AGCCUGAGGUGUGCGCAAGCUUUAGAGUGUCUAACCUACACUUUUCCUAGGGAGCUCGAUUUGAUUCUGGUGGAUGUGCGCCUCGGCGCAGGCAAAAGCCAGACUUAGGGCACCCACCUGCUAUUCGCAGGGUCUAGGCAUGUAAGGCAAACGGCAUUUUGGA